CUGUUCAUAUGAAUUUACAGAUAUAUAUAUAUAUAUAUAUUAUUCAUUUUUCUGUUUAAAAAAAGAAAGAGGAAGUCAGACCAAGUUCAGCUAUGAAGCUUCUUCAUCUUACUCGCUUCUCAUUUUCUUGUAUCGCAGAAAUCUAAUCGAUCAACUUCAGAGAAAGAGCAAGCAAAAAGUCUUGACGAUGGCGGAAGCUUUACUCACUUUUGCUGUGGAGGGAAUCCUGGGGAAGGCAGUUUCGCUGGCUGCCAAUGAGAUCAGCCUAGCCUGGGGUUUCAGGGACGCUCUGAAACAGCUCGAGAUAUCAAUGAGGNNNNN
RNAcentral lists this long non-coding RNA (321 nucleotides) under Carica papaya (papaya). RNAcentral describes it as "long non-coding RNA (CPAP_LNC003084)". The record is from RNAcentral. Lineage: Eukaryota; Viridiplantae; Streptophyta; Magnoliopsida; Brassicales; Caricaceae.